CAACAGAGGGAGGCAAAGCCGCGAGGCAGAGCAAACCCCUAAAAAGCCAUCCCAGUUCGGAUUGCAGGCUGCAACCCGCCUGUAUGAAGUUGGAAUCGCUAGUAAUCGCGGAUCAGCAUGCCGCGGUGAAUACGUUCCCGGGCCUUGUACACACCGCCCGUCACACCAUGAGAGUCGGGAACACCCGAAGUCCGUAGCCUAACCGCAAGGAGGGCGCGGCCGAAGGUGGGUUCGAUAAUUGGGGUGAAGUCGUAACAAGGUACC
RNAcentral lists this ribosomal RNA (264 nucleotides) under uncultured bacterium. RNAcentral describes it as "partial 16S ribosomal RNA". It matches the Rfam family "Bacterial small subunit ribosomal RNA", at positions 1237 to 1500 of the family's 1533-position model. The record is from RNAcentral.